AUUGAACGCUGGCGGCAUGCCUUACACAUGCAAGUCGAACGGCAGCACGGGAGCAAUCCUGGUGGCGAGUGGCGAACGGGUGAGUAAAGUAUCGGAACGUGCCCAGUCGUGGGGGAUAACGUAGCGAAAGUUACGCUAAUACCGCAUACGAUCUAUGGAUGAAAGCGGGGGAUCGCAAGACCCCGCGCGAUUGGAGCGGCCGAUAUCAGAUUAGGUAGUUGGUGGGGUAAAGGCUCACAAAGCCGACGAUCUGUAGCCGGUCUGAGAGGACGACCAGCCACACUGGGACUGAGACACGGCCCAGACUCCUACGGGAGGCAGCAGUGGGGAAUUUUGGACAAUGGGCGCAAGCCUGAUCCAGCCAUGCCGCGUGCAGGAUGAAGGCCUUCGGGUUGUAAACUGCUUUUGUACGGAACGAAAAGGUUUGGCCUAAUAAGCUGAGCUCAUGACGGUACCGUAAGAAUAAGCACCGGCUAACUACGUGCCAGCCGCCGCGGUAA
RNAcentral lists this ribosomal RNA (500 nucleotides) under uncultured bacterium. Its description in RNAcentral is "partial 16S ribosomal RNA". It matches the Rfam family "Bacterial small subunit ribosomal RNA", at positions 30 to 523 of the family's 1533-position model. The record is from RNAcentral.